Molecule: ribosomal RNA, 253 nt
Filed under: uncultured bacterium
Lineage: Bacteria
Description: partial 16S ribosomal RNA
Rfam family: Bacterial small subunit ribosomal RNA
Source: RNAcentral
UACGUAGGGGGCGAGCGUUGUCCGGAAUUACUGGGCGUAAAGGGCGCGCAGGCGGCUUAUUAAGUCGGGUGUGAAAUGCCGCGGCUCAACCGCGGAACGGCAUCCGAAACUGGUAGGCUUGAGGGCAGAAGAGGGAAGCGGAAUUCCCGGUGUAGCGGUGGAAUGCGUAGAUAUCGGGAGGAACACCAGUGGCGAAGGCGGCUUCCUGGUCUGUCCCUGACGCUGAGGCGCGAAAGCUAGGGGAGCAAACGGG